AUGUUAAUAUACGUUUUUUCAGGAUACCUUCUAUAUUUACGCCAGGGAAAAAGCUCUGCGCCUUGUCACAACGACGUAGAGAAAUGUGGAUCAAAGCUUUAAGAAGAGAAGAUCUAACGGAUACGAAAAUUAAAUAUGGACGUAUUUGUUCACGUCAUUUCCACUCUGGAAAACCAGCAGCUUUGAAGGAUACCACUCAUCCUGACUGGGUUCCAUCGAAAAACAUGGGUUACAACGUUACUGGCAAAAAAAAAUUAGAAAGGUAUCAGCGUUGUAAAGCUAGAGAAGUACAGUGUAGUAGGUAUUCCAGAAUCUGGAUUUUUUUCCAUUUAGAAUUCGCAGAUUUCUUCUUUUUUUUCUAAACACAUUUUACCUGUGCCAUCUUGAUUUGUAGAAAGAGGAAGCUGCUGCUACAACUAGUUCUCCAACUGUAGUACCAGAAAUUGAAAACAUCGAGCAUGUUAAACCUUCCUAUGAACAGUUGGAGCUUGCACUACGUUUCAAUUUACAGU
Molecule: RNA transcript, 512 nt
Organism: Tribolium castaneum (red flour beetle)
Lineage: Eukaryota; Metazoa; Arthropoda; Insecta; Coleoptera; Tenebrionidae
Exons: 4
Source: RefSeq, a predicted model, not a curated record